UACGAAGGGGGCUAGCGUUGCUCGGAAUUACUGGGCGUAAAGGGCGCGUAGGCGGUCAUUUUAGUCAGGCAUGAAAUUCCCGGGCUUAACCUGGGGACUGCGCUUGAUACUGGGUGACUAGAGGGUGGAAGAGGGUCGUGGAAUUCCCAGUGUAGAGGUGAAAUUCGUAGAUAUUGGGAAGAACACCGGUGGCGAAGGCGGCGACCUGGUCCAUUACUGACGCUGAGGCGCGACAGCGUGGGGAGCAAACAGG
Molecule: ribosomal RNA, 253 nt
Filed under: uncultured bacterium
Lineage: Bacteria
Description: partial 16S ribosomal RNA
Rfam family: Bacterial small subunit ribosomal RNA
Source: RNAcentral